GCGUCCCCAGGUCAGGCGU
This 19-nucleotide ribosomal RNA is filed under the name Cunninghamia lanceolata. Its description in RNAcentral is "partial 28S ribosomal RNA". The record is from RNAcentral. Lineage: Eukaryota; Viridiplantae; Streptophyta; Pinopsida; Cupressales; Cupressaceae.